This 254-nucleotide ribosomal RNA is filed under the name uncultured bacterium. Its description in RNAcentral is "partial 16S ribosomal RNA". It matches the Rfam family "Bacterial small subunit ribosomal RNA", at positions 524 to 776 of the family's 1533-position model. The record is from RNAcentral.
UACAGAGACUGCAAGCGUUAUUCGGAUUCACUGGGCGUAAAGGGUGCGCAGGCGGUUGGGUGUGUCAGAUGUGAAAUCCCGAGGCUUAACCUCGGAACUGCGUCUGAAACUACUCGACUAGAGUACUGGAGAGGGAAACGGAAUUCACGGUGUAGUAGUGAAAUGCGUAGAUAUCGUGAGGAACACCAGAGGCGAAGGCGGUUUCCUGGACAGUUACUGACGCUCAGGCACGAAAGCAUGGGGGAGCAAAAGGG